This 254-nucleotide ribosomal RNA is filed under the name uncultured bacterium. Its description in RNAcentral is "partial 16S ribosomal RNA". It matches the Rfam family "Bacterial small subunit ribosomal RNA", at positions 524 to 776 of the family's 1533-position model. The record is from RNAcentral.
UACGUAGGGGGCAAGCGUUGUCCGGAUUUAUUGGGCGUAAAGAGCGUGUAGGCGGUUAGGUAGGUCCGUUGUGAAAACUCGAGGCUCAACCUCGAGACGCCGAUGGAAACCAUCUGACUAGAGUCCGGAAGAGGAGAGUGGAAUUCCUGGUGUAGCGGUGAAAUGCGCAGAUAUCAGGAAGAACACCCGUGGGCGAAGGCGGCUCUCUGGAACGCAACUGACGCUGAGACGCGAAAGCGUGGGGAGCAAACAGG